Molecule: ribosomal RNA, 910 nt
Filed under: uncultured organism
Description: bacterial SSU rRNA
Rfam family: Bacterial small subunit ribosomal RNA
Source: RNAcentral
AGUCGAGGGGUACGAUUCUGAGUAAUCGGAAGGCGACGCCGACUCACGGGUGAAUUCGCGUAUGCACCUACCUCUGACUGGAGCAUAGCCCGAAGAAAUUCGGAUUAAUACUCCAUAAUACUGCGAGAAGGCAUCUUUUUUCAGUUAAAGCUUCGGCGGUCAGAGAUGGGCAUGCGUAACAUUAGCUAGUUGGUGAGGUAACUGCUCACCAAGGCUACGAUGUUUAGGGGGUCUGAGAGGAUGGUCCCCCACACUGGUACUGAGACACGGACCAGACUCCUACGGGAGGCAGCAGUGAGGAAUAUUGGUCAAUGGGCGAAAGCCUGAACCAGCCAUGCCGCGUGAAGGAUGACGGCCCUAUGGGCUGUAAACUUCUUUUAUACGGGAAGAAACCUCUCUACGUGUAGAGGGUUGACGGUACCGUACGAAUAAGCAUCGGCUAACUCCGUGCCAGCAGCCGCGGUAAUACGGAGGAUGCAAGCGUUAUCCGGAUUCAUUGGGUUUAAAGGGUGCGCAGGCGGAGAAUUAAGUCAGUGGUGAAAUCCUGCAGCUUAACUGUAGAAUUGUCAUUGAUACUGGUUUUCUUGAAUGCAGUUGAGGUAGGCGGAAUGUGUAAUGUAGCGGUGAAAUGCUUAGAUAUUACCCAGAACACCGAUUGCGAAGGCAGCUUACUAAACUGUGAUUGACGCUGAGGCACGAAAGCGUGGGGAGCGAACCAGGAUUAGAUACCCUGGUUAGUCCACGCUGUAAACUAUGAUCACUCGUUGUUGGGCAUACAUCGUCAGCGACUGAGCGAAAGCAUUAAGUGAUCCACCUGGGGAGUACGAUCGCAAGAUUGAAACUCAAAGGGAUUGACGGGGGGCCCGCACCAAGCGGAGGAACCUGGUGGUUUAUUUCGAUGAUACGCGAG